This 205-nucleotide ribosomal RNA is filed under the name Strombidium inclinatum. RNAcentral describes it as "partial Bacterial large subunit ribosomal RNA". It matches the Rfam family "Bacterial large subunit ribosomal RNA", at positions 901 to 1100 of the family's 2925-position model. Lineage: Eukaryota; Ciliophora; Spirotrichea; Strombidiidae. The record is from RNAcentral.
GGUAAAGCUACUGUUUCGAUGCGGGCUGCGAGAGCGGUACCAAAUCGUGGCAAACUCAGAAUGUAUGAUAUUGCCUACCGUUAGCCAGUGAGACCCAAGGUGAUAAGAUCUUCGGUCAAGAGGGAAACAGCCCAGAUCACCAGCUAAGGCCCCUAAAUGGUUUCUAAGUGGAAAAGGAUGUGAGAGUGCAGAAACAACCAGGAGG